Molecule: long non-coding RNA, 363 nt
Organism: Suricata suricatta (meerkat)
Lineage: Eukaryota; Metazoa; Chordata; Mammalia; Carnivora; Herpestidae
Exons: 3
Source: RefSeq, a predicted model, not a curated record
GAGAAGAAAAAUGUUCGGGAGAUGGUCCUCAUGCUGGGGCACUUGGAUGGUGGAAUGGCUGCACAAACUAGCCCUGCAGUGCCACCUGCGACUUGAUGAGCCCUAAAGCAUGAUACCGUGGAGACUCUUGGAACUGGUGGACAGCAAGAGCCCUAGAAGUUUACCAGAUGUGGGGAGAGAGAGAGAGACCAUUCACCAGAUGCUCCAUUUCCUGAUGGCCUGCACUUGAAGAUGCCUUAGCUGAUCUGCACUGUGCUAUAUUCUACAAAUCACCCCGCCACACACAAAAAACCCACUACCAUUAAGUCUCAUUUUCAUUGAGUAUGCGACUCAUAUUCUGGGUGUCAAAUAUCGUUCAACAAA